Molecule: long non-coding RNA, 316 nt
Filed under: Lathyrus oleraceus (garden pea)
Lineage: Eukaryota; Viridiplantae; Streptophyta; Magnoliopsida; Fabales; Fabaceae
Description: Pisum sativum (pea) long non-coding RNA (PSAT_LNC013131)
Source: RNAcentral
GGAACUCUUUAGAGAAGUGUUCCGGUAUACAUUUAAUGAACCAGAAGACUUACUCUGAGUGUUCCGGUUUACAAUGCAAAAAAGCCAAAUAUUUCUCUUCUCCGGAACUCUUCAACGAAAAUGGUAAAAAAAAUUUGAAAUGGAAAAUAUAGCCUAUUUAUAUGAGGGUAUUUUAGUCAAAAAAAUUUAAAUGUAGGGGUAUGGGGCUAACUGUAGGGGUACAAGGUAAAAUUUUCUGACCACCAAGUCACUAUGCCUCUAACUGCCAACCCUAGUUUUAACUAACCAUGCCUACCAUAAUGCUGCCCUAACUGAC